Molecule: long non-coding RNA, 1171 nt
Organism: Lathyrus oleraceus (garden pea)
Lineage: Eukaryota; Viridiplantae; Streptophyta; Magnoliopsida; Fabales; Fabaceae
Exons: 4
Source: RefSeq, a predicted model, not a curated record
UUUAACCCAGAUGGCAGGAUGCGAACUCAAGAAUGCCAUGAACAACACGGCCGCGUAGCACCAGCUUCAUGGUGUUAUCACCUUCAUACGAGCCUUCCCUCACCAAGCUAAUCUCAGAUCCGAAAUCAACAGUCAAAUCCAUUAUCCAUGCUUCAAAGGAUCCGAAUCAACAACUUGAAAGCUAAAACCUUAAAUCUGGAAUCAACGUCCACGCGUGAAUCGCAGCUUCCGGCGCCGGCUUUCAUGGCUUUCUCUCUUCGAUCUCAUCUUGAUUCAUCUUCAACACAACAUCCACGUUCAUCAAUGCAAGGUGGAGCCAUGAAACUGUUCAACACGAGCCUCAUCGCCUCCUUCAUCAUUUCGAUUUGAGCAGUUCGAGACUUCCAAACGCGAAUGCUAAAUGGUGCAUAGUUGCGACGGCAACGCGAAAACGAGUUUCAUCAUAUCAAAGCAAGUGGAAAGGAAAUGUUUACCAGAUUGGAGAUUUUCUACAAACAGGGAAUUGAAGAACUUUGAUGCAGAGAGAUGGAGAUUGAUGCAGAGCGUUGUUGAGGGCUUGAACUUUGCACAGAGCGAUCCUUCUGAGUUUGGUGAAAAACUGAGGAGAACUUCCAGUUGCAGAAGGUUGAAUGAAGAUUGAGAGCAAAAAAUAUGAACCUCCUCAAUGGUCAUUGGCUAACUGUGGAGAACCUGAAGAAUGAAGUGGAUUUGGUUGGACUUAAAUGGCUUUUUGGUUAAGGCUUGAGAUCUAUCAGUUAUGGCUAGGAAAUGUUCCUGCUUGAUGCCCUCUUUUGUUUUGAUGCAUGUUCUGGUUUUGAGUUCUUGAAAUACUUGCCGCAACUAUGCUCUUAGACUACCACGUGGUGUGUUAGCCUUGCUCACGGUGGAUCACCGCUUGAAUGAUGGUCCGAGUGAUUUUGAAGCAUCUCAUGCAUGACAACUAGUAUUAGGGGCAUGUUAUGUAAAAUGAGAGCAUGUAAUGUCAUAUUUAAAUACCAAUGCAAAUUCUUAUGGAUAACUACCAACAAUGUAUGGAAUUUUGUAUACAUUUGUAAUGGCAAUGUAAGAGCUUGAAUGGUGUUUAUGUAAUGGAUUAUGUAAUGACAAUAUGCACAUUGAAUCAAUGUCUUGUAUUGGAUUUUAUGAAUAGAUCAUUGGUGAUUGGAAUGAA